CACUGUAACGAAUUGCUGUAAAAACUACAGCGUUAUUUUACAGAAGCUGACUGUUUUUUAAAUAAUACAGAAUAUUGCUGUAAAGUGCAAUGCAUUCUGGGGUCACGUGACGGAUUAACUCAAAUGUACAGAAUAUUGCUGUAAAUUUCAAAUCUACAAUGGCGGGAUGAUCUUCAACAGUCGAGAUUGGGGUAGUGCGCAAAAUGAGUGAUUCACACCUGUGGACACACUUUGCCAUGCAGGCCACUGGAUGCUGACUACUGAAGGUUAGGUUCUGUGUGACGUUCUCAGCACAGCUUCAUGUCUGGCCUUGUCACUCUGUUCAUAGCAUGUUACAUAUUCAAUCUUGAGUACCAGGAUGGGUCAGCGUGUCUCUUGGAGUCCACUGAAAGAUAUUAAUCCAGAGAGUGGAGCAAGAAGAAGCGUCAUCUAAAAUGCCAGGAUACAGAAGAAACAGGUUGCAGUGAACCCACAUGUUGCCGCUCUUCUAAACACAAUGAUGAAUUUUCAUUGUAAUCGAUGAAAA
This is a long non-coding RNA of Triplophysa dalaica, 526 nucleotides long. RefSeq lists it as uncharacterized. The transcript is spliced from 3 exons. The record is from RefSeq and is a predicted model, not a curated record. NCBI's taxonomy places the organism in Eukaryota, Metazoa, Chordata, Actinopteri, Cypriniformes, Nemacheilidae.